This 5298-nucleotide long non-coding RNA is filed under the name Sus scrofa (pig). RNAcentral's name for it is "lncRNA (ENSSSCG00025052877.1, ENSSSCG00035026698.1)". The record is from RNAcentral. Lineage: Eukaryota; Metazoa; Chordata; Mammalia; Artiodactyla; Suidae.
GGACAGGUGCCCUCUCUCCCCCACGACCCUUCCCUCCACCCUGGAAAACAUUACCCGGGACUUGGCCUCUCUCUGUGUUUCCCCUCCCACUCCCCAUUCCUUGCAGUUCUGUUAUCACUUCAGGAUCAAAAGUUUGAAACAUUUGGCAUCCAUAUUUGAGAAAAGCUAAGCGAGUGGGUCUCAAAUGUGAGCAUGCUUGGCUCACUUCCUCCUGGACUCUGAUGUAGGAGUGUUCCCAUCACUUGUAACUUUGGGGGUCACUGCCGGAGGGGAGCAGGAUGAGAAUGGGAUGAGGAGGACGUUUGGGGCCAUCACUGGGGUUUGCCCAGGCAGAGUGUGUAUCUUGCUUCCCCAUGUUUCUGCGGGUCUGACCUUCUCUGUGGCUCAUGCAUAUUCAGGCUACAAAUGCAGCACGAGCACGCCCUAUGUUCCAGAGACGGCGUCAGGGACUGUUUGGUUAGGGGGAUGCCUCAAACUUCAAGGUGCAUUAUAACCUCUAGGAGAGGAUAGGAUGCUCUAUCCUUUACUGUGUUAUUUCAGUCCCUAUGAGAGCAUAUCCUAAGAUAGAGUUGGAUGUACAAUCAGUUUGCUGGGGGAACAUCCAUGGAGGAAGAGGGAGGGGGAGCAGGCCAGGGUCUACAUCUGUGAAAAGACAGAGGGCAGGAACAGGGAUUGGACAGGAAGUAUCUCAGAUGGCAGUGCAGUUCCAAGGACAUGUCACCUGCUGGUGAGAGGAGUCUGAGUCUGGCAUGAAUGGUACUUGCUCGGCCACUGGCUCCUCCAGACCCUUGACUCUUGGCAUUGCUUCCGUGGCCUUUUCAGCCAGCCUCUGCAGGAACCAUGGACCACCCUUGAAAGCAAGUAAACAACCAAAGCCCACACUCCUUCCUGGAAGCUGGCCAGGCCCCUGACUCCAGCCCCAUGGCUGCCCUCCCACCUCCCACCUCCUCUUCUCUCAGCUGGCCUGUCACCCUAACCAGGUGGAUGGGGUCUGCCCACUUGGCCAGCCUGCCUCCUCGGCCUGCCUUCACAUGUCUGCUUGAAUGCCUUUUCUUUUCCUUGAGUCAAAACCACAUCUGCCCAUUGCCUGGCCUGAGCCGACUCCCACUUCUUCCAGAAUUUCUUCAGUUCCCACUGACACCCCUGUCCUGGAACUUCUGUUUUGUGCAGGACUGCUGCCGUAAAUUAGAACCUCAUUGCUCUCCAGUUGCUUCAGCUAGUUUUGUUUCUUAAACAAAAAUCAUCGCUCUUCAGUUCCUUUAACUAGUUUUGGUUCUUAAACUAGCUUCCAGGAUAGGUAAGGACAUGAUGAAUCAGUUCUCUCUCCAUCAUCUCUUCCUCCCUCCCUCCCUUCCUUCCUUCCACUUAUCAAGUAUCAUCUUUGCAAGUAGAAACUUAUAGGACUUUUUUUUCCAAAUUUAUCGGUCACCUUCAAGGUCUCUGCUGUUGGCAAAGUUGGGGUAUUUUUUUCGUCUCCAACUAGCCUGAUCUUGCCAUAUCUCUUUCUUCCCUGGGACCUCCAGUGCCCCUUUAUCUGGCCUCCCCAAGUUAAUCACUAUUCUCUGUGCCUGGAUUCACGUCAAGGAACCAGUGACUAGUUCCAAAAGGUGAUUUCUCCCUAGGGAAAUUCUUGAUCAGGUCCCAAAGAGUCAAAAGGAUAAAAUUCUAACGGAUUUGAUGCAUAAUCUAGACACUGUACCAUCCAGUACAGUAGCCAGCAGCCACAUGUGGCUAUUUAAAUUAAUUAAAAUAAAAAUAUAGUUCCUCAGUUCUGGUAGCCACAUUUCACCCGUGGCUAAGAGUGACUGUAUUGGCCUACAUGGUUAUAUUUCUGUCAUCACAGAAAGUUCCCUUGAACAACGCUGAGAGAAGGAAAGGCAUUUUCUUAAAAAGCAGGUGUGAGGUGGAAUUCCCCUCACAGCAACACUGGAUCCUUAACCCACUGAGUGGUGCCAGGGAUGAAACCUUCAUCUGCAUGGAUACUAGUUGGGUUCAUUACCACUGAGCCACAAUGGGAACUCCUACAAUUGUUUAUUUAAUGCUUCCCAUUACCCAUUUCUAUUGCCCAUGGGUCUUGAUGGGAAUGCAGGAAAGAGGAAGUGAGAACACUAGAAGCCUGCAUGCAGUCUGCAUCUCUCCUGGUUCAUGGUUUCUGAGGGCUUUGCCUCUUGGUAUGGUCCUAGCAUGGCCUCUCCACAUCCACUGCCUCUAGUAGGACAACACAGUCCAUUCAGAUCUGAUAAAACAGUGCUCCUUGCUUCCCUUGGCAGGUAAGACAGAUGCUCUCGGUAGGGCCUUUUUCCACAAGUCCUAAUAGUGCAGAAGUUGGACAGACCCUAUUAUGUAUGGCCUUGCGCUGUUGGUUUAUGAUUUUAAAGUUGAUAUCUAUUUCCCUGCCCUAGGAAAGCAAAAGUGUACAUAGUAUAAUGAAGCAGUGGUGCUGACUGGGUGGCCCAUGGGUUUGUAAGCAGCCCUUGAAAGUACUGGGCAUGGUUGUAGCCUAAUGUCUAGAAAGCGUUUUAAAAGGCAGUGUGACUCAUAAGUUCAUUAAAUCCUUUCCUAUUUCAGUUUUCUGUGUGGCCCCUGUAGGCACUGGCAUCGAGACCUCGCUGCUGUUUCUUUGGCUAUAACGGUGUGUGUUGCUUUUCCAGGUGGAAACUCUAAAAAUAAAGAUCAUCAUCAACACACACACACACACACACAUCCUUGUAACUCUCUGCCUCCCAUGGAACCUAAUGAAGUAGAACUUGACUAAUAGGUAUUGGAGGUUGCUUAGUAGUACCAUGCUUUCCAAGCUGUGUCAUUCACUCACCUCUUAGAUGACUUUUGUCACACCCCUAUACCACUUAUGCUAUCAUUUGAUGAACACUUGUGUUUAAUUUGUCUCAAACGUUAGCUUGUAUAAACUUAUUUUAAAAGAAAACACUGCAUCUGUACCACAAAUGGAAAGCCAGCAUCACUUAUGGUAAAUGGAAUGUAACUGCAAAAAUAAUUAUUCUGAAAACAAAACUAUGUCAUUCACCUAAAAAUUAAAGUAAACAAGGAAAUGCAGAGUAAUAAAAAUCAAAUUGACUCACAAAAUCUAAUUGAUUCACAAAAACAAGAUCCCCAGUGAGAAAAGCACAAUGGCUUAUGAUCAGCCAGUAAUAAGAGGAUGUUAAGCUUGAUGUCAUUUGAUUUAACAUGGCCAUGGAUUUCUAUGUCAAUCAAAUUAUAAUGCCUUUUGGUUUUGAGGGUGACCAGCACUGAGAAUCCCACCUCAAGUGAGUCCGUAGUCAAGAAAGGACACCUUACCGUUGUCUAGAUAGUAAGUUUUUAAAAAUUAAAAUGUUUUAGUAUGUAUUUUUGGCACAUGUAAAAGACAUAUAUGCAUUUAUAACUUCAUGUGAUGUUAUGAAACAUAAUUAUGAAAUGAAGCCAAGAACCUAGUCCCAUCUUAAGAACAUUAUUAAUACCUAUGCCCUUAUCUCUGAUUCCCAUCACUUCCUUGGAUGCCUCCCCCUCUCAGGUAAAAAUUGUCUUGAAUUUCUUUAUGUGUAAAAAUAGUUUAACCUGGAGUUGCCGCUGUGGCAUGAUGGAUUAAGAAUCUGACUGCAGUGGCUCAGGUCGUGUGGAGGCUUGAGGUUUGAUCCCCAGCUCAGCUUAGGGGGUUAAAGAUCCUAGGUUGUCACAGCUUUGGCUUGUAUUCAAUAUCCCUGGCCCAGGAAAUUCCAUAUGCCACGAGUGUGGUCACUGAAAAAAAUAGUAGUUUUACCACCUAUGACAUUCCUGAAUAGUAUGUUAUUUAGAUUUGCUUGAAUAUGGUCUUUAUAAAAAUGUUGUCAUACUGUCACUAUCUUCUAGGACACUGGAUGGUCAGUUACAGUGUGUGUCUACAACAGGGUGUUAUGCCCAGUGAGGUGAAAAAUGAACACGUUCAGACCUCACAUGGCCACUUGGAUUAAUCUGCAUGAGGCAGGACUCCCAUAGGCAGGCCAGUCCCGGCUUUCACCUUAGGUGGGAUUUAGGGGCGGGUGGAAUGAAAAGGACUCCCCUUCCUCCACCUGUCACACCCCUGUUACUUCUUACAGAGAAAAGAGUAGAGCUGCCUGAGGCUACUCUCCUUAGAGGGCCUCCUUUGGCUGGCACGUGGUAGCUUGGGUUUGGGGAGGGUCCCCCCCUUCCCUGGUAAGAAUGACUCACUUUGCCUAAACUGUCCAAACAGUGUGCUUCAUGCUGACACCUGCUUUCCUCCUGGAAGUCAGAACUUUGGCACAUGGCAGGCAGAGGUGCCCCCCUCACCUUCCCUGGGCACUGAGUCUCUGAUGAGCUUCCCUGGGAGAUGGCAUUUCACGUGUUUUGUUGCAAUUCAUUGUUGGGGAAUGAAGUGCCUCCGGUGAGACUCCACUGUGCAGAGGUGCUUGGAUGCUCUGCCUGCUUUCCUGGAUGUUACCUCUUGCACCUUUGUCUUUGCUAAUUUUUUGUUGUAUCCUUUUGCAGUUAUAAAUCACUGCUUUGAAGAUUACCGUAUGUUGAGUCCUGUGAAUCUUCCUGGGGACUGGCCUUGCAGAUCCCGACAUUCCUCCAAACUUUCUUUUUGCUGGCAAGCACAUUGAGACUCUGAAUGGAGGGGCCUUGGCUCUAGGCCUUACACUUUGGAGGGCCCUGAAUCUCCCCCCUGCCCCCCCCCCGCCGGAGCUCAGAGCUGGUCUAGCACAAUCUAUAACCUCAAAGACCAACUCUCAUAAAUAUCAUCAUGUAGGUCCCAGAGACACCUUCUGUACAUCUCUUGCCUUAUGUGUUGGAAAACCGCAUCAAACCCCGUGAAGGUGGUGUGCUGUACAUGUCCAGCAAUGUCAGAGUCAGUCACCGCCUCAGAGAGCAGGAGGAUCUGAGCCGGAGAAGUGCUUGGGUAAGAGAAAAGGUGAAUUAAUUAACUUGUCAAAUCCUUCCUCUCAGCUUGAAUGCAAUAGAUUCUUGUAUAACAAAUUAUUGCUUCUCUUCUGUGCCAAACAUUCAUUUUCUAGCUUCUCUUCAUGUUCCAAUUCCUGGUUCUGGAGAUAAGAAUUAAACACUUGUAGGUGGAUACAGAAGCAUAUUUUACUACAGUAAACAAUUCAUAUUACUCUGAAAUUUAUACAUAUGCAGCUAAGAGCAAGUAUGGGUGAAGUAUGACAUGAGUUCCUUAGGUUGGCAACUAGAUGGACAUCGAAUCAUAGAAUUGCAAAUUGUGUUAUUUUUAUAAAAAUAUUUAAUGUCCAAGAAAUUUUAAAGUUUCAGCUUUAAGUAUAUUUGAUUAAAGUAGUUUGUAUUCAUUAA